CAGCAGCCACGGUAAUACAGAGGGUGCAAGCGUUAAUCGGAAUUACUGGGCGUAAAGCGCGCGUAGGUGGUUUGUUAAGUUGGAUGUGAAAUCCCCGGGCUCAACCUGGGAACUGCAUCCAAAACUGGCAAGCUAGAGUAUGGUAGAGGGUGGUGGAAUUUCCUGUGUAGCGGUGAAAUGCGUAGAUAUAGGAAAGAACACCAGUGGCGAAGGCGACCACCUGGACUGAUACUGACACUGAGGUGCGAAAGCGUGGGGAGCAAACAGGAUUAGAUACCCCUGUAGUCCCUGUCUCUUAUAA
Molecule: ribosomal RNA, 301 nt
Filed under: uncultured bacterium
Lineage: Bacteria
Description: partial 16S ribosomal RNA
Rfam family: Bacterial small subunit ribosomal RNA
Source: RNAcentral